AGUGAACGCUGGCGGUAUGCCUAACACAUGCAAGUCGAACGGCAGCACAGUAAGAGCUUGCUCUUACGGGUGGCGAGUGGCGGACGUGUGAGGAAUACAUCGGAAUCUACUUUUUCGUGGGGGAUAACGUAGGGAAACUUACGCUAAUACCGCAUACGACCUACGGCUGAAAGCAGUGGAUCUUCGGACCUUGCGCGAUUGAAUGAGCCGAUGUCGGAUUAGCUAGUUGGCGGGGUAAAGGCCCACCAAGGCGACGAUCCGUAGCUGGUCUGAGAGGAUGAUCAGCCACACUGGAACUGAGACACGGUCCAGACUCCUACGGGAGGCAGCAGUGGGGAAUAUUGGACAAUGGGCGCAAGCCUGAUCCAGCCAUACCGCGUGGGUGAAGAAGGCCUUCGGGUUGUAAAGCCCUUUUGUUGGGAAAGAAAAGCAGCAGGUUAAUACCCCGCUGUUCUGACGGUACCCAAAGAAUAAGCACCGGCUAACUUCGUG
RNAcentral lists this ribosomal RNA (492 nucleotides) under uncultured bacterium. Its description in RNAcentral is "partial 16S ribosomal RNA". It matches the Rfam family "Bacterial small subunit ribosomal RNA", at positions 29 to 507 of the family's 1533-position model. The record is from RNAcentral.